RNAcentral lists this ribosomal RNA (468 nucleotides) under uncultured bacterium. Its description in RNAcentral is "bacterial SSU rRNA". It matches the Rfam family "Bacterial small subunit ribosomal RNA", at positions 329 to 795 of the family's 1533-position model. The record is from RNAcentral.
GUCCAGACUCCUACGGGAGGCAGCAGUGAGGAAUAUUGGUCAAUGGUCGGGAGACUGAACCAGCCAAGCCGCGUGAGGGAUGAAGGUACAGAGUAUCGUAAACCUCUUUUGUCAGGGAACAAAGGCGGGGACGCGUCCCCGGAUGAGUGUACCUGAAGAAAAAGCAUCGGCUAACUCCGUGCCAGCAGCCGCGGUAAUACGGAGGAUGCGAGCGUUAUCCGGAUUUAUUGGGUUUAAAGGGUGCGUAGGCGGACGCUUAAGGCGGGGGUAAAAUGGGGGGGCUCAACCCCGUCGAGCCGUUGAAACUGGGUGCCUUGAGUGGGCGAGAAGUACGCGGAAUGCGUGGUGUAGCGGUGAAAUGCAUAGAUAUCACGAAGAACCCCGAUUGCGAAGGCAGCCUGCCGCAGCGUUACUGACGCUGAAGCUCGAAAGCGCGGGUAUCGAACAGGAUUAGAUACCCGGGGUAUC